CCUAACUCAGAAAUCCGCCAGCCUCUGCCUCCCUAGUGCUGGGAUUAAAGGCGUGUGCCACCACAGCCCGGCUUUAUUUUUAAAUUUUGUGUAUGUGUCUCUAUAUGAGUUUAUAUGCACCAAACAAGUACAGUUACCACUGGAGAUCCCCCAGAACUGGAGUUACAGGCCGUUGUGGGUACUGGGAACCAAAUCUGGCUCAGCAAGUGCUUUUAAUUGCUGAACCAUCUCUUCCAGCCUAAGUCAGGUAUAAUGAUGUAGCUCUGGCUGGCCUGGAAUUCAGAGAUCUGCCUUCCUCUGUCUCCUGAGUGUGGGCACCAAAGAAGUGUGCCACCACACUGAGCUUUAUCCUUCCUUGACACAUUCAUCACGUGAUAAGGUACUCUUGCUAGUAAUGUCCUCUAUAGCACACAAUUAACCCUGGAGCAUGAUUUUUCAAUACUAGAACCUCAAUAUAUAUAUAUAUUUAUGUAUAUAUAUAUAUAUAUACACACAUACAUAUAUAUAUAUCAACAUAUCAGUAUAUCUAGAGAUAACAAAGCCCCAGGAAUGAAAAGAUAUUAGCCUUAUAUUCCUGAUGAAUUCUUCAAAUUAUAAAUAUGGAAUCUUAUAAAGAGUAGACAGAAUGAGAAAUAAAGAAGCAGGAGUUGGUGUGGAAAGCAAGAUUAGAAAAUAUAGAAUGACAUCGACAGUUUGCUGUGUGUGGGUGUUUGUCCUGUGUUUAAAAAGAGAGUGAGUAGUUCUUGGAAUUAUUUUCGGCACAGCUGAUUUUUAACAUUUCCUUUCAUAACAUUCAGAAAUCAUUAACAAUUUUUGCAUAUUUGGUAUGGGUUUUUGUUUUCUUUUUUUUUUUCUUUUAACUUUUGUUGCUUUCUUUAACAUUGGUCAUGUUUCAUCCACCCCUCCCUUUUUUUUUCAUUCCCCUGUCUGCAAUCAACUUCUUCAUUCCACUAAGGCUGGGCACAGAUUGGUGUUGGUAUUAGGAGAUCUGCAUAUUCCACACCGGUGCAACAGCCUGCCAGCCAAAUUUAAAAAACUCCUGGUGCCAGGAAAAAUCCAGCACAUUCUCUGCACUGGAAACCUUUGCACCAAGGAGAGCUAUGACUAUCUCAAGACUCUGGCUGGUGAUGUCCACAUUGUGA
Mastomys coucha (southern multimammate mouse) is the source of this 1142-nucleotide long non-coding RNA. RefSeq lists it as uncharacterized. The record is from RefSeq and is a predicted model, not a curated record. The transcript has 2 exons. Lineage: Eukaryota; Metazoa; Chordata; Mammalia; Rodentia; Muridae.